GUCCUUCCUGUGUUGGUGCCCCAGAGCUGGAUGCAGCAUUCCAGGUGAUCUGGGAAAACAGUCCUGCUGUUCUUGCUGCAUCUAACAGAGAUAAGGGGGAAAGAGCCGGCACCAGUUUCUUGUACGUGCACACAUGGUGAAGCUGGAACGCUCCGUGUCGAACUGGAAACUUCAGCUGGGGACCGAAGCCCUUUGUCAGCUGGAGGGCCCUUUCAGAGGAAUUCUUUUAAGCUGCGCGGCACAACGGAUAAACCGAAAUGACAGACGUGGGGCCGGGGGAGCGCUGGCUGCGCCUUUCCCGGAGCGGCGGAGCGGUUCCGCUCUUGCGUAAGGCCGCGCGCGCUGCCAGCCCCUCGGCUUGUCUGAAGGGAGCCCUUCAUGUGACCCUCAGCCACCCCGAACGGACCGAUGUUAAACGUGAGGCAUAAAACCUGCUCGGUUACGUAACCGUUUCUCCCGGCCAAGUGUUUCCUACUGCGGUAAACAAACGUUUGUUUUUUUUUUAAUUUUAACUUGCCGCUAGAAUAAAACAUUCUGUGGGUAGGAGGGAGCGCAUGGGUGGGAGCAGGGAAUGCCGGUUAUUCGUGUCCCAGCGUGAAUGUGCCAGAAAGAUCAGUGAUGUAUUUUUGUUUGAUUAACGUGGCUGAUUUAGUCUGACAGCGUCUGUUAAGAAGUGCCCUAAGACCCAUUUCAUGCUUUUGCUAAUACAGCCGAAAGGAAAAUUGCAAGCAUCGCGAAAUGCUUUUUAAUUACACCUUUGCUGCCUGGUGAAACACUGGAUUUUAAAGGUGUCCUCAAAACAGUAGUGUAACUUUAAUUUACUUAGAAAUGCACUGACCUGGCAUUCUGACUUGGUCUGAAGGACAGAGCCAGAAAGUAAAAAAAGCAGUUUCAGCAUUUAAAAACGUGAGAGAAGCAGAUGACUGUCAGUGUGGCCACGUAAGGCAUUAUAGCUGAAACCCCUGAUGUGCCAUAUGGAACCUUACUGUUCUGUGGGAUUGUAGGUUGUUUUGAUGUAGAGAAUUUUCCUGAUAAAUCUGAGAGUCAUAAGGUUUUCCUCUGGCCUACCUGCAGCAGUGUGAGGUUUUUGGGGUUGCUGAAUCCCCUUGGGGCAGGAGGGAAUCUCAGGGGGUUGUGUAGCCUGUCCUGUGUUCUCUUCAAAAUCCGGCUUCUUAUUGACCUAAACAGAGGCAGAUUGUUGUGUGAAAUUACACCCUGGGAUUGUAAUUUCUGCCAUAAAAAGCACUGAGAUGUGAUUAAAUCUGCCUGGCAAGGU
Chiroxiphia lanceolata (lance-tailed manakin) is the source of this 1276-nucleotide long non-coding RNA. RefSeq lists it as uncharacterized. The record is from RefSeq and is a predicted model, not a curated record. Lineage: Eukaryota; Metazoa; Chordata; Aves; Passeriformes; Pipridae. The transcript has 3 exons.